This 435-nucleotide ribosomal RNA is filed under the name uncultured bacterium. RNAcentral's name for it is "partial 16S ribosomal RNA". It matches the Rfam family "Bacterial small subunit ribosomal RNA", at positions 29 to 507 of the family's 1533-position model. The record is from RNAcentral.
AGCGAACGCUGGCGGCAGGCUUAACACAUGCAAGUCGAGCGGGCAUCUUCGGAUGUCAGCGGCAGACGGGUGAGUAACACGUGGGAACGUACCCUUCGGUUCGGAACAACUCUGGGAAACUGGUGCUAAUACCGGAUACGCCCUUAUGGGGAAAGGUUUACUGCCGAAGGAUCGGCCCGCGUCUGAUUAGCUAGUUGGUGGGGUAACGGCCUACCAAGGCGACGAUCAGUAGCUGGUCUGAGAGGAUGAUCAGCCACACUGGGACUGAGACACGGCCCAGACUCCUACGGGAGGCAGCAGUGGGGAAUAUUGGACAAUGGGCGCAAGCCUGAUCCAGCCAUGCCGCGUGAGUGAUGAAGGCCUUAGGGUUGUAAAGCUCUUUUGUCCGGGACGAUAAUGACGGUACCGGAAGAAUAAGCCCCGGCUAACUUCGUG